CUGCCCGAGGAAACAGGAGUACGGUUAUAUUGAUGUGUCAUAAAGCCAUUUGUGCUAUUGUCAGCUGAGCAUUUUGUGACUGUAUUAAAGUGUCUCUUCUGUAUUCAAAAUGGAAAUGUCCUGUAUUAAACUAAAUACCAAAGAAAUUGCUAAUAUUACAUUCAUUUUAGCAAAUACGUAAAAUUUAGUCACUUGGGAGGUAGUACCUUUAGAAAUAAUUGAAUGAACGUCCGAACACGGAGAUAGCAGAUAUGAAAUCUCAACCUGAAAUUGAUAAAAUAUAUCAAUCGCUCCAAAUUUCAUCAUCACUAAGAUAAAAAGAACAUCACAAAAGCUCUGGAUGCCGUGUGUUAUGGACCAUUCAUCAUAUCAACCGUUUUUCAGUCGAGGAUGUAGCGGUAUCCCAACGGAGACUAAAAGUGCCUUUUUUCCACUAGAAACGGAGACAGUGUGUUAGUGUUGAUAGGGGAAGGAUUUAUCACAAUAAAUCAUCUAAAUUGCUUUUUACUGAAUUUUCUUUGCAAUUUAAAUUUUAUUCUUGUCUUUUUCUUAGCUAUUUUAUUUUUUACUUUGUAAACUUUUGAGUUAACUCAAUUGUAAUUUAUUGUGAUACGUAAAACCCUUCUAAAUUGCUUUUUACUGUAUUUUCUUUGAAAUUUAAAUAUUAUUCUUGUCUUUUUCUUAGUUAUUUUAUUUUUUACUUUGUAAACUUUUGAGUUAACUCAAUGUAAUUUACUGUGAUACGUAAAACCUUUCUAAAUUGCUUCUUACUGUAUUUUCCUUGAAAUUUAAAUUCUAUUUUUGUUUUUUUCUUAGGUAUUUUGUUUUUUACUUUGUAAACAUUUGAAUUAACUCAAUCGUAAUUUAGUGUGACAGGUAAAACCCUUCUAAAUUGUUUUUACUGUAAAUUCUUUGAAAUUUAUAUUCUAUUUUUGUUUUUUUCUUAGGUAUUUUGUUUUUUACUUUGUAAACAUUUGAAUUAACUCAAUCGUAAUUUAGUGUGACAGGUAAAACCCUUCUAAAUUGUUUUUACUGUAAAUUCUUUGAAAUUUAAGUUCUAUUCUUGUUUUUUUUCUUAGGUAUUUUGUUUU
Agrilus planipennis (emerald ash borer) is the source of this 1091-nucleotide long non-coding RNA. RefSeq lists it as uncharacterized. The transcript has 3 exons. Lineage: Eukaryota; Metazoa; Arthropoda; Insecta; Coleoptera; Buprestidae. The record is from RefSeq and is a predicted model, not a curated record.